Molecule: unclassified non-coding RNA, 270 nt
Filed under: Waitea circinata
Lineage: Eukaryota; Fungi; Basidiomycota; Agaricomycetes; Corticiales; Corticiaceae
Description: partial internal transcribed spacer region
Rfam family: Eukaryotic small subunit ribosomal RNA (bases 1-46)
Source: RNAcentral
AAGUCGUAACAAGGUUUCCGUAGGUGAACCUGCGGAAGGAUCAUUAAUGAACUUGUGGUUGUUGCUGGCUAGUGUCUCUAGCAUGUGCACACGCACCUUCAUCCCAUUUACACCUGUGCACCUUUUGUAGUAGUGUUUUGAAAGGGGGGAAGUUAACUCUCUCUUCUGGAUCUCCUACUACGUUUUUUACACACACACACAAAUAGUCGUUGAAUGUCAUUUGAUUUUAUAUUGAAAAAACAACUUUCAACAACGGAUCUCUUGGCUCUC